UGGGGAAUCUUGGACAAUGGGCGCAAGCCUGAUCCAGCCAUGCCGCGUGAGUGAUGAAGGCCUUAGGGUUGUAAAGCUCUUUUGCCGGGGACGAUAAUGACGGUACCCGGAGAAUAAGUCCCGGCUAACUUCGUGCCAGCAGCCGCGGUAAUACGAAGGGGACUAGCGUUGUUCGGAAUCACUGGGCGUAAAGCGCACGUAGGCGGAUUUGUAAGUCAGGGGUGAAAUCCCGGGGCUCAACCUCGGAACUGCCUUUGAUACUGCGGAUCUCGAGUCCGAUAGAGGUGAGUGGAAUUCCUAGUGUAGAGGUGAAAUUCGUAGAUAUUAGGAAGAACACCGGUGGCGAAGGCGGCUCACUGGAUCGGUACUGACGCUGAGGUGCGAAAGCGUGGGGAGCAAAGAGGAUUAGAUACCCAAGUAGUCCCUGAGCGGGCUGGCAAGGCGCAU
RNAcentral lists this ribosomal RNA (447 nucleotides) under uncultured bacterium. RNAcentral describes it as "bacterial SSU rRNA". It matches the Rfam family "Bacterial small subunit ribosomal RNA", at positions 355 to 825 of the family's 1533-position model. The record is from RNAcentral.